RNAcentral lists this ribosomal RNA (492 nucleotides) under uncultured bacterium. RNAcentral's name for it is "partial 16S ribosomal RNA". It matches the Rfam family "Bacterial small subunit ribosomal RNA", at positions 29 to 507 of the family's 1533-position model. The record is from RNAcentral.
AGUGAACGCUGGCGGUAGGCCUAACACAUGCAAGUCGAACGGCAGCACAGUAAGAGCUUGCUCUUACGGGUGGCGAGUGGCGGACGGGUGAGGAAUACAUCGGAAUCUACUUUUUCGUGGGGGAUAACGUAGGGAAACUUACGCUAAUACCGCAUACGACCUACGGGUGAAAGCAGGGGAUCUUCGGAACUUGCGCGAUUGAAUGAGCCGAUGUCGGAUUAGCUAGUUGGCGGGGUAAAGGCCCACCAAGGCGACGAUCCGUAGCUGGUCUGAGAGGAUGAUCAGCCACACUGGAACUGAGACACGGUCCAGACUCCUACGGGAGGAAGUAGUGGGGAAUAUUGGACAAUGGGCGCAAGCCUGAUCCAGCCAUACCGCGUGGGUGAAGAAGGCCUUCGGGUUGUAAAGCCCUUUUGUUGGGAAAGAAAAGCAGCAGGUUAAUACCCCGCUGUUCUGACGGUACCCAAAGAAUAAGCACCGGCUAACUUCGUG